RNAcentral lists this long non-coding RNA (209 nucleotides) under Homo sapiens (human). RNAcentral describes it as "HSALNT0091379". The record is from RNAcentral. Lineage: Eukaryota; Metazoa; Chordata; Mammalia; Primates; Hominidae.
GAGUCUAUGUUCUGAGAAAUGAGGUGGUUGAUAUGAUCGAAACUGGAAUAAAAUGUAUAUUUCAUCAAGAAACAGAUGGAUCUUAAGAAUCUGGUAAAAAAAAGUAGAAUUCGGCAUAGUAAGAAUGUUUGCAUGUAGAAAGAGAGUAUUACAUUGUGGCAUUUCCCAUUUCUUUUUACAUGUGAAAUUACAGUGAACUUAUAAAAAUA